This 43-nucleotide ribosomal RNA is filed under the name Coniochaeta fodinicola. Its description in RNAcentral is "partial 18S ribosomal RNA". Lineage: Eukaryota; Fungi; Ascomycota; Sordariomycetes; Coniochaetales; Coniochaetaceae. The record is from RNAcentral.
CGUAACAAGGUCUCCGUUGGUGAACCAGCGGAGGGAUCAUUAA